Molecule: long non-coding RNA, 858 nt
Filed under: Cottoperca gobio
Lineage: Eukaryota; Metazoa; Chordata; Actinopteri; Perciformes; Bovichtidae
Description: lncRNA (ENSCGOG00000004443.1)
Source: RNAcentral
GAGAGGGAGCGCGCUCACUCGGUUAAAGAAAUUGGAAAUGUCAAUGUUGACAACCUGAGAUUGUAAAUCAUGAUCUUGGCAGCUUUUGUGGCAAAUCAGUAGCAGCUGAGGCUGCCUCCGGAAAAAUGCCACUGCUACCUGCCGCUGCCACUUUAUGACAUUAUGAGCCAGCCCUAACUGACCGGGGGGGGCCAGCGGAGCCGUCUGCCUUCCGAGCUGGAUUGAGGUGAAGAGGCUGGCAACACAAACGCACUGAGGCCAGAGAAACAUGGGCCACCAGUGUAAAGCUUCAGGGAGAGCUGAGGGAGAAAGAAACAUCAGAAGCCUUCACCCAUGUCAGGACUAUUUUUGUCCGUGGGCUACAGACUGUGAACAUCUAGAGCUUGGUAGAGGAAGUUGUCGUCCACGUGCAUGAGAGCUACCCCAAACCCAAGAGAGGAGCAGCAGAAAAAGGUGUGUUUCGAGUACAACCUAUUCCAUAACCCAGAGGGUGACACCUGUGCUAUGAGAUGCUCACUGUAACGAAGGUGAUCCCAGUAGCCGUCUGGUCUUAGUCUCCGUUACGUUUGUGUAGCUCACAACCAUAUACUUGUUGUUCAUAUUAUGCACAGACGCAUGUAUUAAUUUGUUUAAGGAAGACACUUACCUGUUUUCUCCUGUCUCCAACUCCCAAGGUCCGCGGCUAAAAGAGUCCCUGUGGAAACAACACGUUUCUAUUGUUCUGGGAGGGUUCCACAGCGCCGGAUGAAGUGGGGGGUUGGUAAAUGUAUGCAUAGUAAAUUUUGUAGCAACAUAGUUCUUUUUACAUAAUAAUUAUCGUUUAUAUUAGUGAAUUUAUAUAUAUACAUAUAUAUAUAU